Molecule: ribosomal RNA, 492 nt
Filed under: uncultured bacterium
Lineage: Bacteria
Description: partial 16S ribosomal RNA
Rfam family: Bacterial small subunit ribosomal RNA
Source: RNAcentral
AGUGAACGCUGGCGGUAGGCCUAACACAUGCAAGCCGAACGGCAGCACAGUAAGAGCUUGCUCUUACGGGUGGCGAGUGGCGGACGGGUGAGGAAUACAUCGGAAUCUACUUUUUCGUGGGGGAUAACGUAGGGAAACUUACGCUAAUACCGCAUACGACCUACGGGUGAAAGCAGGGGAUCUUCGGACCUUGCGCGAUUGAAUGAGCCGAUGUCGGAUUAGCUAGUUGGCGGGGUAAAGGCCCACCAAGGCGACGAUCCGUAGCUGGUCUGAGAGGAUGAUCAGCCACACUGGAACUGAGACACGGUCCAGACUCCUACGGGGGGCAGCAGUGGGGAAUAUUGGACAAUGGGCGCAAGCCUGAUCCAGCCAUACCGCGUGGGUGAAGAAGGCCUUCGGGUUGUAAAGCCCUUUUGUUGGGAAAGAAAAGCAGCAGGUUAAUACCCCGCUGUUCUGACGGUACCCAAAGAAUAAGCACCGGCUAACUUCGUG